This 329-nucleotide unclassified non-coding RNA is filed under the name soil metagenome. RNAcentral's name for it is "partial contains 5.8S ribosomal RNA, internal transcribed spacer 2, and large subunit ribosomal RNA". The stretch from base 1 to 120 matches the Rfam family "5.8S ribosomal RNA", at positions 35 to 154 of the family's 154-position model. The record is from RNAcentral.
GAUGAAGAACGUAGCGAAAUGCGAUAAGUAGUGUGAAUUGCAGAAUUCAGUGAAUCAUCGAAUCUUUGAACGCACAUUGCGCCCCUUGGUAUCCCGAGGGGCAUGCCUGUUCGAGCGUCAUUUCACCACUCAAGCCUGGCUUGGUGUUGGGCGACGUCCCCUUUGGGGACGCGCCUCGAAACGCUCGGCGGCGUGGCACCGGCUUUAAGCGUAGCAGAAUCUUUCGCUUUGGAAGUCGGGGCCCCGUCUGCCGGAAGACCUACUCGCAAGGUUGACCUCGGAUCAGGCAGGGAUACCCGCUGAACUUAAGCAUAUCAAUAAUCGGAGGA